This 3335-nucleotide ribosomal RNA is filed under the name Drosophila melanogaster (fruit fly). RNAcentral's name for it is "eukaryotic LSU rRNA". The stretch from base 1974 to 3335 matches the Rfam family "Eukaryotic large subunit ribosomal RNA", at positions 1891 to 3312 of the family's 3401-position model. Lineage: Eukaryota; Metazoa; Arthropoda; Insecta; Diptera; Drosophilidae. The record is from RNAcentral.
ACUACCACAGUCCGCGGUUUCUUGUCGUAAGAGACGACUAAUACAGCGAUAGGUUCCUCUAACCGUUCUUGUCGGAGCAAAAGGAGGAGGCCCACCGAGCUUCUUUUCGGUACCACGGGUUGAGCAGCUAUCCAAGACUGCUCAUUGAGGUAGACCCCCUGGUGGGAGUAUCGUGGUGGCUGUGGUUGGUACCCAUAUCGCGGGUAGAGCCUUCGUGUUCGACGUUUGAGUUAAGGUGCUGGUUGCGCAAAACUCGGGUGCUGUGACCCAGAGAUCAGUAGAGAUUUUUGGUAGAUCUCGCUCCUCAGCAAGGGGGAGGGCUUGCCCGGCAAGCAAGUACUCGAAUUGCUACCGGGGUGGUCGCUAUGUACAUAGCUAUAGCUUUUAGUCCGGGACGGUUGUAUCCAGACACAUGCACCGUAUGCUCACAUUUGGGUGUAUGGGGUGUUGGAAUAAUUUGCGGGGAAAGAAAACUAUUUGCGGAAACUCGGAUGGGGCUUCAAGUAUUGUUGGACAAGACGUUGUACUUUUUAUCUAUCGUCGGCCUCAAACUUAAUGCCGACAAAUGUUUUACCGUUGGCAUUAAGGGCCAGCCGAAACAAAAGUGUACCGUGUUAGAGGCACAGAGCUUCUACAUAGGCUCGAGUGAGAUUUCAUCACUGAAGCGCACGGACGAGUGGAAGUACUUAUGCAUCAACUUCACUGCAACCGGGAGGGUUCGAUGCAAUCCGGCCGAGGACAUUGAUCCAAAGCUACAAAGAUUGACAAAGGCCCCCCUCAAACCACAACAGAGGUUGUUCGCCCUUCGGACUGUCCUUAUCCCACAGCUCUACCACAAGUUAGCCCUUGGGAGUGUGGCGAUAGGCGUCCUACGAAAAACUGACAAACUUAUAAGAUAUUGUGUGCGAAGAUGGCUAAAUCUUCCGCUGGAUGUGCCGAUAGGAUUUGUUCAUGCACCCCCAAAAAGUUGAGGUCUCGGAAUUCCAUCACUAAGAUGGGUAGCUCCAAUGUUAAGGCUAAGACGAUUGAGUAACAUUAAAUGGCCUCACCUCACGCAAAACGAGGGAGCCAGCUCUUUUCUCGAAGCCGAAAAACAACGGGCCCGAGACAGAUUAUUAGCUGAACAAAAUGAAUUGUUAUCGCGUCCGGCAAUAGAAAAAUAUUGGGCGAACAAGUUGUACCUCUCAGUUGAUGGUAGCGGACUCCGUGAAGCGGGCCAUUAUGGCCCGCAACACGGGUGGGUUAGUCAACCCACGCGUUUAUUAACAGGAAAGGAAUAUAUAGACGGUAUUCGUCUGCAGAUAAAUGCCCUUCCCACAAAGUCUCGUACUACAAGGAGAAGGCACGAAUUGGAACGACAGUGUCGUGCAGGAUGUGAUGCUCCCGAAACAACAAACCACAUAAUGCAAAAAUGCUACCGCUCGCAUGUCAGGCGGGUAGCUAGACACAACUGCGUAGUAAAUCGAAUCAAGCGGGGACUUGAGGAGAGAGGCUGCGUGGUCAUUGUUGAACCAAGUCUGCAGUGCGAAUCCGGCCUUAAUAAACCAUACCUGGUGGCACUACGACAAAAUCACAUUGAUGUGAUCGACAUACAAAUUGUGACAGACGGACACUCUAUGGAUGAUGCGCACCAGCGCAAAAUCAAUAGAUACGACAGACCGGACAUACGAACUGAAAUGCGUCGCAGAUUCGAAGCCGCAGGUGACAUUGAAUUCCAUUCUGCCACCCUGAACUGGAGGGGGAUCUGGAGUGGUCAAUCCGUUAAAAGAUUGAUAGCAAAGGGUCUCCUCAGAAAAUAUGAUAGUCAUAUCAUUAGCGUUCAGGUUAUCAGAGGCAGUCUCGGUUGUUUUAAACAGUUCAUGUACCUGAGCGGGUUUUCCCGAGAUUGGACUUCGCUAAAACGUUUGGUUCAAAAAAUUUGCUUGCUGUCUUGGCAUAACAUCAAAAAUGCAUAAACAUCGCAAAAUAAUUGUUAUAAUAAAAUGGCUAUGACGAUGGUUUUAGUACGUAGGCGUUGCAGAACUUCGGUUCAGAUAGAGCAACGAAUCGUGCAUGCUAGGAAAACUGACCACACACAGUUUUGGCAGACCUAGUAUCUUUAGAAGAUUUCCAUACUUUCGCGAUCAAAAAAAUAAAUAAAUAAAUAAAAAUAAAUAGCCAAAUGCCUCGUCAUCUAAUUAGUGACGCGCAUGAAUGGAUUAACGAGAUUCCUACUGUCCCUAUCUACUAUCUAGCGAAACCACAGCCAAGGGAACUGCCUUGGAAUAAUUAGCGGGGAAAGAAGACCCUUUUGAGCUUGACUCUAAUCUGGCAGUGUAAGGAGACAUAAGAGGUGUAGAAUAAGUGGGAGAUAUUAGACCUCGGUUUGGUAUCGUCAAUGAAAUACCACUAAUCUUAUUGUUUCCUUACUUACUUGAUUAAAUGGAACGUGUAUAAUUUCCUAGCCAUUAUACGGAUAUAUUUAUUAUAUCUUAUGGUAUUGGGUUUUGAUGCAAGCUUCUUGAUCAAAGUAUCACGAGUUUGUUAUAUUAUAUAUCGCAAACAAAUUCUUUAAUAAAAGGAUGCAUUUAUGUAUUUUUGAUUUGAAAAUUUGGUAUAACUCCAAUUACUCAGGUAUGAUCCAAUUCAAGGACAUUGCCAGGUAGGGAGUUUGACUGGGGCGGUAAAUCUCUCAAAUAAUAACGGAGGUGUCCCAAGGCCAGCUCAGUGCGGACAGAAACCACACAUAGAGCAAACGGGCAAAUGCUGACUUGAUCUCGGUGUUCAGUACACACAGGGACAGCAAAAGCUCGGCCUAUCGAUCCUUUUGGUUUAAAGAGUUUUUAACAAGAGGUGUCAGAAAAGUUACCAUAGGGAUAACUGGCUUGUGGCGGCCAAGCGUUCAUAGCGACGUCGCUUUUUGAUCCUUCGAUGUCGGCUCUUCCUAUCCAUGUGGAGCAAAAUUCACCAAGCGUUGGAUGUUCACCCAGGGAACGUGAGCUAGGUUUAGACCGUCGUGAGACAGAUUAGUUUUACCCUACUAAUGACAAAACCUUGUUGCGACAGUAUUCCUGCGUAGUACGAGAGGAACCGCAGGUACGGACCAAUGGCACAAUACUUGUUCGAGCGAACAGUGGUAUGACGCUACGUCCGUUGGAUUAUGCCUGAACGCCUCUAAGGUCGUAUCCGUGCUGGACUGCAAUGAUAAGUAAGGGGCAAUUUGCAUUGUAUGGCUUCUAAACCAUUUAAAGUUUAUAAUUUACUUUAUAAACGACAAUGGAUGUGAUGCCAAUGUAAUUUGUAACAUAGUAAAUUGAGAGGAUUUUCGAUCACAUGAUGACGCGCUAGUUACAUAU